Mesocricetus auratus (golden hamster) is the source of this 1046-nucleotide long non-coding RNA. RefSeq lists it as uncharacterized. The transcript has 2 exons. The record is from RefSeq and is a predicted model, not a curated record. NCBI's taxonomy places the organism in Eukaryota, Metazoa, Chordata, Mammalia, Rodentia, Cricetidae.
GGUGCUGUCCUUGUCCCCCACCCCCUGUGGGCUUUAAAGAUAAGCUCAAUUUAAUGCCUACUUAGCACCUAGACAGAAGUUAAGAGAGAAGGCAAUGCUGACCAAGAAAACAGCUGUUUUUAUUUUCACAAUCUUUAUCACUUUAUGGGCUUGCAAAUGUAGUUAAAUAUACCAAUUUCUGGCUACGGAGGAGUGCUGGAAAGCCAUCGCAACAGCUGCAAGGAUCGGAUUUAAACCUUCAAGCUCCGCAUGAAAUACUGUUCUUAGUCAUUGUCAUUUCAACUUUCCUCAUUUUCUAAGAAAGUAACAUCCUUUGCUGAUUGCAAAGAUAAGAAUAACAAAUGCAAGACACAGCUCACCAAAGAAGCCGGAAGACUACAAUUUUCAGUCAAUGGAAACCCACUCAAAGAAGAAAUAAAUGGGGUUAUAGUCAGACUAAACCAACAAGUUGAAUUCAUAGUGGAAAGUAUAUCUGCUAGCUUGGAACUCACUAUGUAGACCACAGAAAUCCAUCUAUCUCUGCCUCCAGACUACUGGGAUUAAAGCCUCUGCUCUAUGUACCAGCCUGGAGGGACAGCACUCACUGGCUCGCUGUGAGGUCUACCGGAGAGACCCUGACACUGACCUUCAUGACAUUGAGCUGUGCACACUAAAUGCCACCAGGGAUCUCCUAAGGCACGUUUUUAUUGUUAGGUGCCACCUGCUCCCUGGAAGUGACACAGACUACAUUUGUACAGUUCAACGUUCUCCCUCAACAAAGGCAAGCAAAUAAGGAACAAUCAGGAUCUGAUGGACACAGGGAGGGCUGGAAGAGAAGGAAAGCAGGCUUGAAGAUGCUCUUCAAUGAGACUGACGAGCCUGAGUUCAUAACCCAUCCUGAUGUGCUAAAUGGAUUCUAAUGGAGCAAGUCAUAGGCUGUUAGAAGCACUGUUCAUCUACCUCUUUCUGCAUGACUGUCUCCUCCAAGUGACCUUAGCAGUCAUUCUCAACCUUUAUACAGUUCCUCUUGUUGUGGUGACCCCUUAAGCACAAAAUUUUUUUGAUUA